RNAcentral lists this long non-coding RNA (411 nucleotides) under Cucumis sativus (cucumber). RNAcentral describes it as "long non-coding RNA (CSAT_LNC001362)". The record is from RNAcentral. Lineage: Eukaryota; Viridiplantae; Streptophyta; Magnoliopsida; Cucurbitales; Cucurbitaceae.
AGAGCAACAUAAUUUAGAAAAAGUUGAGGAAACGUCCAAUUUAUACAAAAUAGAACAAUUGACCAUAUAUGCUGUUAAAACAGCAGAAUCAAAUUGCCAUUGAUGAUAGCCUAGUAUUUGAAAAAGAAGAAGCUAAGAAAUACUCUCAAGGUAAGAUGAUUAAAUUGAUGAAUCAUGCUGAAACAGAAACAAUGAUCAUUUUUCCUUAAUAAUUCCUCACAGUCUGCGGAAUGAAACACUAAUUCAUUAACAAUGUCCAUUUAUCUUGAUCUAAGGCUACCACCAAGCAUAUCAAGACAAUCUAUCAAUAAAGCUACAUAAACAAAGUUCUCGAGAUUCAGUAAUCACCGUUGGAAUUUCUUCAGGCCUUUUAUCUGUUAAAAGUGCACGAAUGAGGGCGGCGCGGGAACU